GAUCUUUGAUAUAAAGGAUUUUAGAGAAGCUUUAUUUAUACUCGGUAUUGAGAUUCACAGGAAUAGUCUGUGACAUAUGAAGAUUGUCUCAAAGAGCUCCCAUUGAUUGUAUACUGAAUGGAUUGGUAUGCAUAAUUGCAAACUUGGAGAUAUACAUGUAGUCAAGGGAGAUAAAUUCAGAAAAAAUUAGUAUCCUAAAAAUAAUAUCGAAAAGAAUUCAUGAGGAAUGUGUCUUAUCCAACUACUAUGUAUAAUUUCAUGUAUGUAAAGAUUUGC
RNAcentral lists this long non-coding RNA (276 nucleotides) under Elaeis guineensis (African oil palm). RNAcentral's name for it is "long non-coding RNA (EGUI_LNC010282)". The record is from RNAcentral. Lineage: Eukaryota; Viridiplantae; Streptophyta; Magnoliopsida; Arecales; Arecaceae.